GACGAACGCUGGCGGCGUGCUUAACACAUGCCAGUCGAACGAUGAAGCCUAGCUUGCUGGGUGGAUUAGUGGCGAACGGGUGAGUAAUACGUGAGUAACCUACCUUUAACUCUGGGAUAAGCCUGGGAAACUGGGUCUAAUACCGGAUACGACCAAUCUCCGCAUGGGGUGUUGGUGGAAAGCGUUAUGUAGUGGUUAUAGAUGGGCUCACGGCCUAUCAGCUUGUUGGUGGGGUAACGGCUCACCAAGGCGACGACGGGUAGCCGGCCUGAGAGGGUGACCGGCCACACUGGGACUGAGAUACGGCCCAGACUCCUACGGGAGGCAGCAGUGGGGAAUAUUGCACAAUGGGCGCAAGCCUGAUGCAGCGACGCCGCGUGAGGGAUGACGGCCUUCGGGUUGUAAACCUCUGUUAGCAGGGAAGAAGAGAAAUUGACGGUACCUGCAGAGAAAGCGCCGGCUAACUACGUG
This 471-nucleotide ribosomal RNA is filed under the name uncultured bacterium. RNAcentral's name for it is "partial 16S ribosomal RNA". It matches the Rfam family "Bacterial small subunit ribosomal RNA", at positions 28 to 507 of the family's 1533-position model. The record is from RNAcentral.